GAUGAACGCUGGCGGCAUGCCUUACACAUGCAAGUCGAACGGCAGCACGGGAGCAAUCCUGGUGGCGAGUGGCGAACGGGUGAGUAAUGUAUCGGAACGUACCUUUCAGUGGGGGAUAACGUAGCGAAAGUUACGCUAAUACCGCAUAUUCUGUGAGCAGGAAAGCAGGGGAUCGCAAGACCUUGCGCUGAUUGAGCGGCCGAUAUCAGAUUAGCUAGUUGGUGAGGUAAAGGCUCACCAAGGCGACGAUCUGUAGCGGGUCUGAGAGGAUGAUCCGCCACACUGGAACUGAGACACGGUCCAGACUCCUACGGGAGGCAGCAGUGGGGAAUUUUGGACAAUGGGCGCAAGCCUGAUCCAGCCAUGCCGCGUGAGUGAAGAAGGCCU
Molecule: ribosomal RNA, 387 nt
Filed under: uncultured bacterium
Lineage: Bacteria
Description: bacterial SSU rRNA
Rfam family: Bacterial small subunit ribosomal RNA
Source: RNAcentral